GUUGAACGCUGGCGGCAGGCUUAACACAUGCAAGUCGAGCGGGGUGAUGGUGCUUGCACUAUCACUUAGCGGCGGACGGGUGAGUAAUGCUUAGGAAUCUGCCUAUUAGUGGGGGACAACAUCUCGAAAGGGAUGCUAAUACCGCAUACGUCCUACGGGAGAAAGCAGGGGAUCACUUGUGACCUUGCGCUAAUAGAUGAGCCUAAGUCGGAUUAGCUAGUUGGUGGGGUAAAGGCCUACCAAGGCGACGAUCUGUAGCGGGUCUGAGAGGAUGAUCCGCAACACUGGGACUGAGACACGGCCCAGACUCCUACGGGAGGCAGCAGUGGGGAAUAUUGGACAAUGGGGGGAACCCUGAUGCAGCCAUGCCGCGUGUGUGAAGAAGGCCUUAUGGUUGUAAAGCACUUUAAGCGAGGAGGAGGCUCUUUUGGUUAAUACCCAAGAUGAGUGGACGUUACACGCAGAAUAAGCACCGGCUAACUCUGUGCCAGCCGCCGCCGUAA
RNAcentral lists this ribosomal RNA (503 nucleotides) under uncultured bacterium. RNAcentral's name for it is "partial 16S ribosomal RNA". It matches the Rfam family "Bacterial small subunit ribosomal RNA", at positions 28 to 523 of the family's 1533-position model. The record is from RNAcentral.